This 3000-nucleotide unclassified non-coding RNA is filed under the name Leishmania donovani. RNAcentral describes it as "gene:LdHU3.36.6730(CDS-product:paraflagellar_rod_ component_putative)". Lineage: Eukaryota; Euglenozoa; Kinetoplastea; Trypanosomatida; Trypanosomatidae. The record is from RNAcentral.
ACCACCGCCACGACUGCAAACGCUUACACACGCAUACAGAGACAAGCAUAGGCACAGCGUCACCCGUGCGCCGAGGAGUUUCGCUGCCCCUUUACGCGCCACCGAGCCAUCGCCACACACACACACGCAUACACUCUCACUCUUUCCCUCCCCUUCUCCUCUGCUUACGGUCUCUAUUCGGCUAGCGGUUCUUGUUGUCGUGCAUCAUGGAAGGUCGUCUUGUUAUUUUGCCACGGGAUGGCAUGCACAAAACAUCCAUGUUUCUCGUUGGCACUGCACAUCGCUGCAUUCUCGCUGUCGGGUCCCAGUCAGAGGGGCUGCUCGCCACCCCGUAUGUGCAGGAGAUGGCGGACGCCUUGAAGGGGGAGUGGACCAUUGCUCACGUGGUGCUGGGCAGCAGCCAUGUCGGGCGAUCUGCCCCCAGCCACGAGGCAGACGCGGACGACGUGGAUGCCGCGCUGGCGCUCCUGGUGAAGGAGCACAGCAUGAACGACGUGGUCCUCUAUGCUAGUGGAACUGGCGUGCAGGUUGCACUGGAGGCGCUGGCGUCGGCUGCUCAUGCGGAAGUGGUGACGCGCGUCAUCCUGCAAGGAGGCAUCGUGUCGCCGCAGCGCAGCAAGCUCUUUUCUGUAGAAGCAACCAAACGCCGUCUCGAAAUGGCACGUGCGCUCAUUGCAGAGAAGCGCGGGGACGAUACAACGGCGAUGGCGAAGGUGUACGAUAUGGCAGUGACGCCAGCGCGCCUCUCUCGGAAUGCGACGCUGACGGUGCAGGAGGCGCUAUGGCAACCGGUGUUGGGGGAGUCUGAGUCUACCUGUAAGCAGACACUGCGCGGGGUGACGGUGCCAACGCUGUUUCUCCUAUCCACAGAGGCGUCGUACACGGCGGCGGCGAAGGACGCCGUGCCGGCGGUGCAGCGCGCCGCGAGGGAUGCGAUUGGCCUGCCCACCGAGGAUGUCCAGGUCACGCUACUUCCCACCACGAUCGACGAGCAUCGAUGCGCGCUCAACGGAAACGGUGCGCUGGCGGUCAAGGCCGUCAGUGACUUUCUUCAUGGGGCCGACGCGCGCCGUGCACAGUUCGAGCCAGGCACCACGGUCGUGGCUCUCGAGGCAAAGCGAAAGAAAGAAGUCACUCUUGUCAACGGUGUCUGCGCGUGAAACUGGAGCACGCAUGUCGAAUGCAAAAUGGGAGAGAGCAUGCGGCUCGUAAAAGCAAAGGAGAAAGAUCCCGCUCUUGUCUGAGGUCCUUGCUUUGCGAGCCUGCGGCUGUAGAAGGUGAAAUGCAGCUCUGCCCCAUCCUCCCCCUGCCUCGCCGUCGUCCGAUCGUUCCGCCGACCAAAGCGUGCACACGCGCUGUCCGGCGCUGCUGGCACGGCGCACCACACCCACAGCCAAAGCACCCCGAGGUCGAAAGGGCAAGAGAGAUACAUGGAAAAGGCGCGCAGGGAUCUAUAGCAAUCAUUUUGAAAGUGGUCGUGCGCGAAGCGCACGGCACCUCCGACGUCCCGGGCGGGUGGGCUGGCGAGGCCCGGGUGCCGGCAGCAUGGCGAGAGCAGCCCGAAUCAACGCAGCGAGUCCUCCAGACGCCCAUGUGGAGUGUCGCCACACGGUGGCACGGGAGUGCGCGGCGCGAGGCAACGGGGUGCGAAGGAUGGCCCGCAGGCAGCGGUGCGCAGGGUCUCGGAGGGCCCUGACCUGAGAGGCUGGCCGACGUUGUCCGUGAGCUCACCCGGUGCGCGCGUAGCUGACGCCUCGCCUGUUGGCCGGCGCGACGGGCGCCACGGCUUCCGCUCUCGAGCGGGGGACCCUUGGCGGCGGCGUGCUUUGGGUGAAGGCGUGCAGGCCACCCGCGUCUGCGUCUGGCGCGGAUCGGGCAGCACGCCGCCGGCGGAGGGACCGAGAGGGGCAGGACGGGGAGAGCUGGUUAGACGCGUGGCCUGAUUCGAUGACAGGGGCUGGGCGGGCGCGUCCCAGAGGGCCUGGAUGUCGCGGUGGUGCGGCAGCGGUGGUGGAGCUGUGGCUGGGUGUGCGUAUAUUCUGUUGCCCUGUACUUGGUCGAAUAUGGACACGUCGGGAAAAAGAAAACGUGGCAAAAGCGCCUGCUCUGCAACUAUUCGUUCUGAUGUUGCUGUCGUGAUUUCUUCUCCGCUUACCGCCCACCCUUUCGGGCGCGGGCCUCUCUCGAGUCGUGUCCUGUAGCGGUUGCUCCGCGGUUUCUCUCUGUGUGGCGCUCCCGCACUUCGUGGAAGACGCCUCCCGCCUCUCCCCUUCCCUCCCCACGCACGCCAUUUCGUUUCUUUUUUUUUAUGUACAAGGUAAUACUAGAACGACUGCACCUUGUGGGCGUCGCGCUCUUUUUCGUUUCCUUUGUUUUUAUUCUCGCUUGUUUGAUUUGGAUUCCCCGUGCCGUUAGGACUCGAGAGGAAGACCGGACUUCCAGGCGUGCACCUCGGAGGUGCAAUGCCGUGUCUUCUCCUCUUCUAUCCCUUCCGAAGCUGCCUCACACUACGCAGGCAUACAUACACGGACGCGCAGACACAGACAGUGCGCACGGUUGCCUCGACGGCAACACCCACAACAGUGCUGCCUUGUAUAUAUGACCCACUCGGCUGUCUUUUUGUUUUGCGAAGUGCCGCUGCCCUGUAUGUAUGCCCGCUGAUGUAGCUGUGCAACCAUGGCGGUGAGGGAGAAGGAUUUGAGUUUUUUUCGGUCUCCUUUCUCUCAGCCGAUGUGAAGUAACCCGAUGUUGUUCCUCCUUUCCUUGUAGCCUUCGCAAACUAUCAGCAACAACGAAAGAAAAAGGCGAAACGCUAUACACAGAUAAAAGAGCAACAAGCUCACUGGGGCGUCUCUCUCACCAACAACGACAUCUCCACAGGAGUGCAGGUGGCAUGCACCUGUACGAGCGCGGUCCUUUGUGGUGCUGCUGCGCGCUCGCAUACAUAUUUCGGUCUCCUCCAGUUUUCCCCGCUGGGCAUUCGGGUGGUGGUGGUGGUGG